Molecule: long non-coding RNA, 630 nt
Organism: Carassius gibelio (silver crucian carp)
Lineage: Eukaryota; Metazoa; Chordata; Actinopteri; Cypriniformes; Cyprinidae
Exons: 3
Source: RefSeq, a predicted model, not a curated record
CUCUGCUUCACUCAACAUCUUCUCCAGAACAGCGGCUGAGAUCCAGCAGAACACUGGGAUGUGGCACAUGAUGUAGAGGCUCCUUGAUGACUUCAGGUGUGAGAUGAUUGAAUUGGCCAGACUCUGAUCACUGAUUCUCUUCCUGAAGUAUUCCUCCUUCUGUGGAUCAUUGAAGCCUCGUACCUCUGUCACUCGAUGGACACACUCAGAGGGGACGAGAUCAGCUGCUGCUGGUCUGGAGGUGAUCCAGAUGAGAGCAGAGGGAAGCAGAUUCCCCACAAUGAGGUUCAUCAGCAGCACGUCCACUGAGGCUAAUUCAGAUAUAUUACACAGUUUCACUUUACUCUUAAAGUCCAGAGACAGACGACACUCAUCCAGACCAUCAAAGAUGAACAACACUUUAUAUUCAUCACUGGAUAUUUCCAUUUCUUUGGUUUCAGGGUAAAAGACAUGAAGAAGAUCUGAAAGACUGAGUGUUUUGUCCUUCAUCAGGUUGAUUUCUCUGAAAGGAAGUGGAAAUAUGAGCUGGACGUCCUGAUUCUCUUUCCCUUCAGCCCAGUCCAGGAUCAACUUCUGCACAGAGACUGUUUUUCCAAUGCCAGCGACUCCCUUUGUCAGCACAGUUCUGAU